Molecule: long non-coding RNA, 432 nt
Filed under: Elaeis guineensis (African oil palm)
Lineage: Eukaryota; Viridiplantae; Streptophyta; Magnoliopsida; Arecales; Arecaceae
Description: long non-coding RNA (EGUI_LNC048083)
Source: RNAcentral
UGGCCAAUUUGAUUGAUUAAGUUUUAUUUUGGAGUGCUUAAUUUUAAGUUCAUUACAUUUGCUUUACCCCAUGAGUCCGAUCUUGGUGAACCAAGCCAGGAUCUCUCAAGUAUAUCCAUUAGUUGUGGAUUUACAUUAGAUGUAAAUGAACAACUAAAAAUAAAGAGACCUAAAUUAAAUCUCCUCAUAGAUAUUAAGUCAAGCGAUCUUCAGCUGUUGUAGAUAUGUGGGUGCUCUACUGAUGUUGAUUGUUCUCAGCUAGAUAUAGUGGUUUAGUUGCAUUAAAAAAGCAUAAAGAUUGGCUCAGAAAUCUAAAUUGAUUUUAAGUUCCAAGAAGUUGAGCUAACUAGGUUAUCCCUAUGUUACCAAACCAUCUAAUGAUUGACCAAAGGGCAAUCAGUUCAUAGUCAUUGUUUGACAAUAAUUAAAGAC